This is a long non-coding RNA of Scylla paramamosain (green mud crab), 1661 nucleotides long. RefSeq lists it as uncharacterized. Lineage: Eukaryota; Metazoa; Arthropoda; Malacostraca; Decapoda; Portunidae. The transcript is spliced from 3 exons. The record is from RefSeq and is a predicted model, not a curated record.
GUGAUACAUGAAAUUGGUGAUUGUAUCUUGAGCAAAUGUAAAGUAAUUGAAUUCCUGAAGAAGUGGAGGAGAUAGGGAAGAGGAAAGGAGGAGGAGGAAGAGGAGGAGAUGGAAGAGGAGGAGAUGUAGAGGUAGCGAUUUUAGGGAUGGAGGAGAUAAGAAGGAGAGAAGAGACAGGGCAUGGAAAAAGGGGGGGAGGAGGAGGAAAAGAAUGAGGAAGAAGAGGAGGAGGAGGAGGAGGAGGAGGAAGGACGAGAAGGAACAGGGCGUGGUAGUAAUAAAGGAGGAAAAGAGGAGGAAGCGGAGGAUGACGAAGUGUGGAGUUUGCAACAUAAUGGACAGAAGAGCUAGGAGAGAGAAGUGGAGCAGAUCGUGGUAGUGGAGGAGGAGGAGGAGGUGGUGGUGGAGACGUAGCGAUAUAGAGAACAGAGGAGCUAGGAAAAAGUGGAACAGGGCGUGGUGGCAGCAGUGGUGGUGUUGGCGGUGGGUGGCGGAGGUGGCAUUGGCGAGGCGACGAUGGUCACGCCUGCAGACCCACGCCCCUGCAGCCCCUGACCAUCCCGCGGCGAGGCUGACCCGACAAAAAAAGGCGAAAACAAAUACGAGAAAAAAUCUAUAUCUAUCUGUUUAUCCCCAGAAUACACGCCCCGUCCCCUCACGCGGCUCCCCGACCCGCCACUCAGCAAAACUACCCGCCACUCACCAACCACCUCCAUUUCCUCCCUCUAAUUCCACCUCGACCUCAAGAUCUCAGUGAUGGAGUUUCGCCCCCGGCCGCUGCCUUCCCUUGGCGCUGAUGGUAUCUUGUUCAAAUCGGCCCACACUCCUCCUUAUCUCUAUUCCUCAUCGAUUCGCAUUUAUUUCACCCCUGAUAAAUGUAACGUAGAUUGUACUGUACUGCGCCUGACUAAUGCUUAAAGUUAAUCCGCCCUGGAAAAAAUGGGCUUGUCGAAACGAAUUGGUCAUGUUGAGGCGAAAACACUACGGCGACGAACUCUCUUGCGUCUUGGUGUUAGGCAGAGGUCCUCAGUGAUCGCCUUGAUAACGAGUGAUUUGUGUUGUGUCCUCUCAGCCACGUCCUUCGCCUCCACCACCACCACCACUACUACUACCUGGAAGACUCAUAUACGUCACAGCGGGUUAAUGAGGUACUGUUGUGUGCGCCAUAACACAAACAGACUCAGCUCAAGGAGGCAUCAGUACGUGGAUACUUUCAAGGCUAACACGAGGUGAGAAACGCGAGGACGCUGGCGACACGCGCACGCACACACGCACACACGCCUGGGAGGACCUCACAUCAAGGAACCGACGACUAAACUGGGAUCAUUUUGCUGAUGGCUCUGGCGACGCAUAAAUGGCAUUCCUUCUGUUAUGGGCGCGGGAGAGGACAGCGGUGGACGGCCCAGCACAGAGAGAGCGUGUGGAAUGGAGUGGGGUGGAGUGGGAGCAGUUGAAGAGCCCGAUGCUGCGUGGAGUGUGAUGGGAAGGGAUGGACAAGAGGAAGAGAAGGAGAACGUGGAGGAGACGCCAAAAUGUUGAGUAGUAGUAGUAGUAGUGGUGGUGGUGGUGGUGGUGGUGGUGGUGGUGGUGGUGGUGGUAUAAUACUCUAGGCCCAGGGUUCGUUUCCUCAUUAUUCUGUAACUACAUAGUGAAUGGGGUGA